This 400-nucleotide ribosomal RNA is filed under the name uncultured bacterium. RNAcentral describes it as "bacterial SSU rRNA". It matches the Rfam family "Bacterial small subunit ribosomal RNA", at positions 28 to 432 of the family's 1533-position model. The record is from RNAcentral.
GACGAACGCUGGCGGCGUGCUUAACACAUGCAAGUCGAGCGGUAAGGCCCUUUCGGGGGUACACGAGCGGCGAACGGGUGAGUAACACGUGGGUGACCUGCCCUCAGCUCUGGGAUAAGCCUGGGAAACCGGGUCUAAUACCGGAUAUGACUCCAUGACGCAUGUUGUGGGGUGGAAAGCCUUGUGCGGCUGAGGAUGGGCCCGCGGCCUAUCAGCUUGUUGGUGGGGUGAUGGCCUACCAAGGCGACGACGGGUAGCCGGCCUGAGAGGGCGACCGGCCACACUGGGACUGAGACACGGCCCAGACUCCUACGGGAGGCAGCAGUGGGGAAUUUUGGACAAUGGGCGCAAGCCUGAUCCAGCCAUGCCGCGUGCGGGAUGAAGGCCUCGGUUGUAACCG